UCUGUAACAGGCUGCUGCUGAGCAGUGAGUGGAAGGCAGGACUGCGUAGGAGUGGCUGCGUGUGAUGCUGCAGUGUGUCCAGGCAGGCAUUUGAGCAGGCCAGGCUUUAAUCACCAUCGCCUGAACUGCAGAUGUGUACAUGGAUGGGAUUUCCAAAAGCACUUGGUAUUGGUCCAUGUUUAUUUUGGCAGAAGCAAUCCCACCUUGUGAAGCAGUAUGUGCUGGUGUUUACCCAGCAGCUCUCACAAACUGCUAGAAAACAACCUGUAGCUGUGGGAUGUAGUGUUUGGUGCAGAACCACUCAGAGAUGCUUUCACAGCAGGAACUUGAGCUUUGGCUACAUAUAGGAACAAGGGGUGGGACUGGAAUGCACUUUUGAACUCCUUCAAGCACGGUAUAUGCUGAGAAGAAAAGUUCCAGAGAACAGGAGCUGUGCUUAAACUUGAGAUAACUUUGGUGAAUAGUUCUUGGCUGAAAGACAAAAUGGAAAAUUUAAAUGUUCUCUGUAGAUUGUUUCAGGAUUAAACAUCUUGAAUUUUUGUUUCAAAAUGCUCUCCCUUCUGGCAAUUCUCUCAAAACUUCUGGUCAUAUAAAUCUGAGUUAUUGAAGAUGGUGCUUGAGGACUCCUGUCAGAAUAAUACUUUGUUUAAUUGGAAAAAAUUUUUAAGCUCUAUUUGGUUGAAAAUCUCUGAAGUUUUCCUUUGGAAUGUAGCUUGAAAGAAAUGAUUUUCUUUCAGCUUAUUAUUUCUCGCUCAGCAGUCUGUACAGAAAGUGCUUUGCAAGUACCCAAAGGGGAUGAUGGGAAGUUGAAAAAGAGAAGAAAUCCACAAAUAAAAGGCUCAGUGGUGGUAAGCGAGCUCCUCAGCAUAGCAGCACUCAGGGUCCAGAUAGGAUUGCUUGUGCUGAGCUGCCUGUGCCCUCCUGGCAGCAUCAACCUGUGGGUCUGGUGUGUGUUGUUCUAGGGACAGAUAGAUAGAUAGAUAAAUAGAUAGACAGAUAUAGCGGAGGAGGGCAUAUAGUCUGCACUGAUGUAAAGUGGGAGUGGGGGCCUCCCUCAUAGAAUCAUUAAGGCUGGAAAAGACCUCUAAGAUCAUCCAACCCAACCGCAGCCCACCCCUACCAUACCCACUGACCAUGUCUCUCAGUACCACAUCUACACGGUUCUUGAACACCUCCAGGGACGGUGACUCCACCACCUCCCUGGGCAGCCUGUGCCAGUGCCCUCAGCUCCAUUGCCAUAGAGGAGAGGUGACAGCUGCAGGACAUGAGCCCACAGUGUGGACUGAGGGGGAAUGGUGUUGUGCUCCCACCACAACAUGGCCGCAUUCCCACCAUGACAUGGCCGCCAGAGGCAGGCAGCACUGCCCUGGGGCAGGAGCAAGGCCUCAAACCCAGAAGCAGCAGUUCCACCCAUUUUGCAGAGAGAAACAGCUCUCGGUCCUCUCAGCUCCCAACAGACUUGGUUUUCCAUUCUCUUCAAAGGAGGAUGUGGUGCCUCUCUCACUGCCCUCGGAAAAACCCUUCACAUCCUCCAAGGAGGUGUAAGAGCAGAACCAUUGUAACUGGGAAAUGAAUUAGUUACUUUCUGGGUUUGGCAGCUUCCUGUUUCGGAAACAUGAGAUAACAGCUCCAAUUUCUCUUUGCUGUCAGCUUAGAAGGGAACCCAGGGCUGCACACCCCCUCGCGUGGCAGCGGCCCAUUUGCUAAUUGUCCCUUCCAGGCAAUGCCACUUACACUGACAGACCCACCUCUAACCCACACCACCCAGAAAAUCACUAUGGCCCUGAACUCCCAUCCUUCUGAAACAGCACCCGGCACCACGCGCUCAGCCGACGUGUUCUGGCUUCUCUCAUGGCACAACAAAAGAGAGGACUGCUUGUUGCUGAUUAAUUUGUGAACAUGCCAGUUUCCAGACAUAAGUCUGGUAUCGCAGGCAGCUGCAUUAAUGAAAAAGAUGUCUGAUUUGCCACAGAUGAUAUAAUGGAUCUCUGCUUCAAGGACUGUGCUGCCCUUUGAAAGUUAAUGAGAGCCGGGUGCGGCACUGGCAUUGCCAUGGGCAUGCUGCAGGAGAAUGGUCCUGGUGCUGUCACAAUGCAUUUGGCUCCCCGGCUGUGGUGCGAGGUGGAGAAUUCAGGUUCAGAGCAACCUUUGCAGCCAGGAUGCAAUCAGAGGUCUGCUCCACAAUCUGGUUUUGUGUGUUCCUGUCAGAAGAGCUGGUAAUGCUGGGCUUUGCCUCUGUGAGAGUUUUUAGGUAAAGAAAAUGUCUUCUUUACAAUUUUGUGAUUCCUCUUUUGCUUCUUUAGGACACGUCUCUAUGCAUGUCAUUUCUGCUCUGUAAAUGUGAGAUGUUCUGCCCCAUCUGCACAGUUAGCUGGCCUGCCUACCUGCUUGCCUUCCAGCCAAAGGAUCCAACUGCUACACCAGCUUUACACAGGAUCAGAGCUGGAAGGGUUCAGCUCAGCAGAUUCAGGGGAAUGACCUGCAAGGGUAUUUCCUCUGUAAUUCAACACUUGCAUGAUCUGGAGCACUGAGAAAACCUUUGGGUUUGGCCCUUCAGCUGGUGGACCUGUGAUGUUUUUGGCUUUGAUAUGCUGCUCUUAAUUUUGGAAAUAACAUCAGAAGAAAUUGGUUGGACAGCCAGAGCUCGGUUAAAUGCUACAGUGGCUGCAAAUGGCAAAUACACAAACCAGCGAUAGAUACCUACUUCUACCUUCUCUAAUAGCAGUCUUUAAAGAUCAGUGGGUUAUGAGCAUUUUAUUUUCUCUGUUCCAGAGUGGCUCAGGCACACUGAGGAGGAUGUGGCACCUCCUGAGGGAUGUGUUUGAAGACAGAGCCAAUGUUGCUGCUUCCCUGCAAGUGAGCAUAUGGGCAGCAGCAGUGCUUCCCAUCACCUCCCUCACUGCUCAUGGAAUGCUGAACAUCCCAGUGUCACACCAGGUAUGAAACCAAGGCUCUGGCUUUUUAAGAAGGCCCUUUGAAGCCUGCCCAACAGACUGACGUGUGAAUGCUCUGGAAGCUCUUGAAUGAAGACAGUUAUUUCCAAACAGCCACAGGAGUAACUGACUGUAGCAAACGGAUGAUUAAUGGCAUCAUGGCCAAAGUAAGGAUCAUUUUUAUUCAUCUGGUGAGAGUGUCUUACAAGAAGAAGAAAUGUUAGAUUACAUGGAAUAACAACAGCCACAACCAUGUUA
Non-coding RNA from Meleagris gallopavo (turkey), 3191 nucleotides. The record is from RefSeq and is a predicted model, not a curated record. Lineage: Eukaryota; Metazoa; Chordata; Aves; Galliformes; Phasianidae.